UGGGGAAUCUUGGACAAUGGGGGCAACCCUGAUCCAGCCAUGCCGCGUGAGUGAAGAAGGCCCUAGGGUCGUAAAACUCUUUCGCCUGUGAUGAUAAUGACAGUAGCAGGUAAAGAAACCCCGGCUAACUCCGUGCCAGCAGCCGCGGUAAUACGGAGGGGGUUAGCGUUGUUCGGAAUUACUGGGCGUAAAGCGCACGUAGGCGGAUUAGAAAGUUAGAGGUGAAAUCCCGGGGCUCAACCCCGGAACUGCCUUUAAAACUACUAGUCUAGAGUUCGAGAGAGGUGAGUGGAAUUCCGAGUGUAGAGGUGAAAUUCGUAGAUAUUCGGAGGAACACCAGUGGCGAAGGCGGCUCACUGGCUCGAUACUGACGCUGAGGUGCGAAAGUGUGGGGAGCAAACAGG
RNAcentral lists this ribosomal RNA (404 nucleotides) under uncultured bacterium. RNAcentral's name for it is "bacterial SSU rRNA". It matches the Rfam family "Bacterial small subunit ribosomal RNA", at positions 355 to 776 of the family's 1533-position model. The record is from RNAcentral.